GUGGGGAAUAUUGCGCAAUGGGGGAAACCCUGACGCAGCAAUACCGCGUGAGUGAAGAAGGUUUUCGGAUCGUAAAACUCUUUUAUUGGGGAAGAAGAAGUGACGGUACCCAAUGAAGAAGUCCCGGCUAACUACGUGCCAGCAGCCGCGGUAAUACGUAGGGGACAAGCGUUGUCCGGAAUCACUGGGCGUAAAGGGCGCGUAGGCGGUUUUAUAAGUCAGAUGUGAAAGGUACCGGCUCAACCGGUGACGUGCAUUUGAAACUGUAAGACUUGAGUACUGGAGAGGCAAGUGGAAUUCCUAGUGUAGCGGUGAAAUGCGUAGAUAUUAGGAGGAACACCGGUGGCGAAGGCGGCUUGCUGGACAGAUACUGACGCUGAGGUGCGAAAGCGUGGGGAGCGAACAGGAUUAGAUACCCGUGUAGUCC
Molecule: ribosomal RNA, 427 nt
Filed under: uncultured bacterium
Lineage: Bacteria
Description: bacterial SSU rRNA
Rfam family: Bacterial small subunit ribosomal RNA
Source: RNAcentral